RNA transcript from Spinacia oleracea (spinach), 4034 nucleotides. It is a transcript of the gene named uridine 5'-monophosphate synthase, with no coding region annotated. NCBI's taxonomy places the organism in Eukaryota, Viridiplantae, Streptophyta, Magnoliopsida, Caryophyllales, Amaranthaceae. The transcript is spliced from 8 exons. The record is from RefSeq and is a predicted model, not a curated record.
UUGUUCUUUGUUGUUGAAUUAUAUUUUCAUUUAAAAAUAGGGCCAUAUUUUGGUUUGACUUGCUACUUGCUACUGUACAUCAAAGUUUUGUAGAUUGCCGAUUCGUAGAAUCGUAGCCCAUAUCCAAGUUUCAAAUCCUAAGGCCCAAACAUACACAUCAGAAGAAAAGGAAACGUAGCAGAUCAACCGGAUCCGAUAAACACUGUGAAUUGUGGCCGUCAAUUUCCCCGGCGCCACCGUUAUCAACAAUGGCGGCCACCUCCUCAUCAUUGGAGUCCUUAAUCCUUCAACUCCACGACAUUUCUGCCGUUAAAUUCGGCAAUUUCAAGCUGAAAUCCGGCAUAGCUUCCCCAGUGUACAUAGACCUCCGCCUCAUCGUAUCCUACCCUAAACUCCUCUCUCAAAUCUCCCAAACCCUAAUUUCCGCCGUUGACUCCGCCUCUCCUCCCGCCACUUACGACGUCAUCUGCGGAGUCCCUUACACCGCCCUUCCCAUCGCCACCGGAGUCUCAGUGGCGAACAACAUUCCGAUGCUGAUGCGCCGUAAAGAGGUUAAGUCGUACGGAACUGGUAAAGCUAUUGAAGGUGUUUAUCAACCUUCCCAAACUUGCCUAAUUAUUGAAGACCUUGUUACUAGUGGCGCCUCUGUUCUUGAGACGGCUGGUCCUUUGAGAGAUUUUGGCCUUAAGGUUAAUGACGCUGUUGUUUUGAUUGACAGGGAACAGGGGGGAAGAGAAAAUUUGGCCAAAAACGGGAUAAGAUUGCAUUCCUUGUUGAAGCUGACUGAGAUGGUUGAAGUUUUAAGGAGGUUGGGUAAGGUGGAGAAAGAAACAGAGAACAUCGUGUUGAAGUUCUUGAAGGAAAGUAAGGUCUCUACUGUGCCAAAUGUGGUAAAAGAGAGGGUUGGGAAAUCAAAUAUGGGUUUUGGGGAGAGAGCUAAGUUGGCUAAAAAUGAAACUGGGAGGAGAUUGUUUGAGAUAAUGGCCAAAAAGAAGACAAAUUUGUGCUUGGCUGCUGAUGUUGGUACAGCUGCUGAGUUACUUGACUUGGCUAAUAAGGUUGGACCAGAAAUCUGUUUACUGAAAACUCACGUUGAUAUAUUACCUGAUUUCACCCCAGAAUUUGGUUCAAAACUUCGCUCGAUUGCAUACAAGCACAAUUUCCUUAUUUUUGAGGAUCGUAAAUUUGCUGAUAUUGGCAAUACCGUAAGUAUGCAGUAUGAAGGAGGUAUUUACCGCAUUUUGGAUUGGGCUGACAUAACCAAUGCUCACAUUAUAUCAGGGCCUGGGAUUGUGGAUGGGCUGAAGAUGAAGGGCCUGCCUCGAGGUAGGGGUCUUCUUCUGUUGGCUGAAAUGAGUUCUGCUGCUAACCUAGCAACAGGAGAUUACACUGCAGCAGCGGUAAAGAUAGCUGAGGAUCACUCGGAUUUUGUCAUUGGUUUCAUCUCGGUUAAUCCAGCAUCUUGGAAAUGCGGACCCGUCAAUCCAGCCCUUAUUCAUGCUACACCUGGAGUCCAAAUGGUAAACGGUGGUGAUUCCCUUGGCCAGCAAUACAACACACCAUACUCUGUUAUCCAUGACAGAGGCAGUGACAUAAUAAUUGUUGGUCGUGGAAUCAUUAAAGCAGCGAAUCCUGAAGAGGCUGCUCAUGAAUACCGGCUUCAAGGGUGGAAUGCAUAUUUGGCCAAAUGCAAAUGAGUCUGUUUGGAGUUUCUCAGGUUUGCAUUAUGGUGGGCUGCUUUUUUCCAAUAACCUGUAACUAUGUUACUUGAACACAGGUGCUCAUGUUAGAAUAGAGUACGCAACUGGAAAAAUCAAGGCGAUAAUCGCUCCAUAUUUUGCAGAUUGGAUGUUAUUCUUCUAGCAGUGCCUGUACCAUGGAGCUCCUGUUAUACAGUUGCAGCAACUCCGUAGUAUUUUUGUGCUGCAAUCAGUUUAGUUACUGCAACUCGUCGAAUUCACGGAGUUGGAUGUAAAACUGGAUAUGUUAAAGGCCUUGAUUGAUCAUUACGUGUAUGAACACGAAUAAUUUGUAAGUGGAGAAAAUGUUAUAUGAAAUCAAAUUGGAUCAGGUGACUCAACAUUCUUUUAAUGGCUUUUAUUUUAAAACAAAAUGACAAAUAAAGUUUAAUGGUCCAAUGUCUCCUCAAGAACAGUCAAUUUCCCUACCCACUAACACUCUUUAGAUUAGCUUUUCCAGUGGACAUCCUAUCAUUACUGUAUUUGUACACUACUUGUAAGUGAGAAUAAAAGAUAGUGAUCUAAUAGCCUGUGUCCGAUAUGUUUUAGGUUUGAAUUCUCCGUCUCAAAAUUUGUAUUAGGUUACCUAGCGAUCAACUUACACGUAUCAAUUACUCCACAGUUCUUUGUUAAGAUGGUAAGAGCUUACUCAAUAGCUAAUUGUAUAGAUUGGGGUAAUAUAUGGGAGGAUUAUUUAGGAAAAUAUGAGAUAUAUUACCUAAUUUCUUCUUAAAAGGUCAAGGCCCGUUCGGUAUCGUUUUUUAUUUUUAUUUUUAUUUUUAUAAUACUAAAAGCAAAAAUAUGAAACCACGGGAUUUUUUUUUCAUAAUUUUCAUUUAUUUUGUUGUCAAUUUUCAUGAUCAAUAUAAUUAUUAAACAUACGUAGUAUUUUAAGUUCAUUGACUCUAAAUCUGUGGAGUAUGACUUUAAAAACAUUAAAAUCAAAAACUAAAAACUGACCCUAGUACAUAAGCAACCCUAGAAAUUAGGGGAUAUGUGGGCUUAUUUUUAUUAAAUAUUUUUUGAAAGCAAUGUUGGCAAAAUUCCAUUUGCUACCAAGUCUACCACACAUUCGUUCAGUAUACGAAAUACUCCGUAUAAAUUUACUUUAAUGGAAAUAGAGUUUUCACAUAAAACAAGUUCUGAAGUUCAUGUUAUCAAUUUUUUUUUACAGCAACUAAACAAUUAGAGUAUGUCAGAUUCCAACAACACUCUUCAUCUUCCAUUGCCGGAAUACUCCACCACCGGUGACCCACUAACCAACCUCUCAGCGAUCCAACACCGAGUCGACUCAUUGAGUCGCAUCCUAUCCAACUCGGUCAACCGCAACACCCCUCUGUCAAAGAACGACUCCAACACGAUCACCGCCGAGUUAACCUCCGCCAUCCACCACGUCGUAAUCAACGGCGCAGCCCUCCUUUCCUCGUCUCAUGUAGCCCACCACAGCCCACAAAUGGACAGUGAGAAUCCCGAGAUAGUUGAACUAGACGCGAUGGAGCUCACAGCUGAAUACACCCACACCUGCCAAGUUUGUGGGAAGGGAUUCAAACGAGAUGCCAACCUACGGAUGCAUAUGCGGGCACACGGAGACAGAUUCAAAACCCUCGAUUCCCUCAUGAAGCCGGGCAAUCUUAAAAAAUCCGAGGGUUUUGGUCGGGAAACGAGGUUUUCGUGUCCGUAUGUCGGUUGCAAUAGGAACAAGAAGCACAAUGAAUUCCGGGCAUUGAAAUCAGUGGUUUGUGUGAAGAAUCAUUUUAAAAGGAGCCACUGUCCAAAGAGGUUUCCGUGUAACCGGUGUAAGAAGAAGCGUUUCUCGGUGUUGUCGGAUUUGAAGAGUCAUAUGAAGCACUGUACGGUGGUGGCGGUGGCGGUGGUGGACGAAAAUACGUGUUCGUGUUCGUGUGGGAGAAUGUUUUCAAACAAGGAAGAAUUGUUUGAGCAUAUGUCAUUGUUUGAAGGACAUAUGCCAGCUAAUGUUGUAGUUGAAGAAGUUGAGAAAUGCAGGUCGGGAUUGGUUGAGGUUGAGGUUGAGGUUGAGGAUGAUCAAAUGGGUUUGUGGUCUUCAAUUGAGGAGUUGAUUCAAUUCUGAAUUCUGAUCAUUCAUUGCCUUGUUUGUUUAAUAUUUACUCUCCAUUCUCUGCUUUGUUCUGUUUUUAUGGUAAUUCAAAUUUAAUUACUGUAAAAUAAUUUUGCCUCCUCUUCCCCUCCCCUUGUCUGGUACAGUUGUACCGAUCGUACUAACUAGUUGUAAUGGGUUGCAAAACAAUUCAUAAUACAACAUUUAUAUUGAUGUUC